UUCACCAUCAAAGGUUUGAGAAGCAAGAAGAAGCUUGGUUA
Molecule: small RNA, 41 nt
Filed under: Arabidopsis thaliana (thale cress)
Lineage: Eukaryota; Viridiplantae; Streptophyta; Magnoliopsida; Brassicales; Brassicaceae
Description: ATSL199090
Source: RNAcentral